Long non-coding RNA from Oxyura jamaicensis (ruddy duck), 1657 nucleotides. RefSeq lists it as uncharacterized. The record is from RefSeq and is a predicted model, not a curated record. The transcript is spliced from 3 exons. NCBI's taxonomy places the organism in Eukaryota, Metazoa, Chordata, Aves, Anseriformes, Anatidae.
GGGCUCUGGGCUGUCUUACCCCGUCUUUGCCCUUUCCUGAGACCUGUCCUACAGAGGCAGGAUGCUCAGCUACGUGAUAUCAUCACAUUUCUUCCACUCAGCUGCAUGAGCUCUGUGAGGUUUUGGUACCAUCUAGGAGCUGGGAAAACUGCUCUGGAAGAAGUCCUGAAGGCUCAGCACCAGAAUUAGUUUAAGGAGAUAAGGGAAGUCGGUGUGUUAACAGUGAAAGCAUUGAAGAGAAUGGGUUACAGGGAAAUUUGUAAUUUGACAUGCUGUUAUGUAAGGAGUUUUAUGCAUGCUAUACCCAGAUACGCCACUGAAAACAGACGGAUUAAUGGAGGAAUUUAUCAUUUAUACGGAGAAAAAUAAGGCAGCCAGUUUUCUUCUACAUCCCGGAGAUGGAUCCUGAGUAAUUAAACAACAGAAACUCUCAGGAAAUGCAUACGUUUUUCCAUGGGGAGUACAAGCUGAAAUAUGAUGUGCUCCAACGCCGCUUUUUAUUCCGUAAGUCAUUUCCCACCACCCAUGCACCCCAUCAAAGAAACCAGGAAAGCACAAUUAAUGUAAUGAGCUACAAUUUCAAGCCGUGGAAAGCCAUCAAAAACAAAGUGAAACCCGGUGAAGCUCUGUGUUACUGCUAUUUUGGCCAACACUUGAACCCUUGAGCUCUGCGCACAGCAGUCCGUGCUUCAGGCUAACAGCUGGAUGCAAAUGCCCCAAUCAUUUCACUUUCAGUGCCUCCUAAUUGUAUUUAGACCUAUUUUACAGACUUCAGUGACAUUCAGAGAGAACAAUGCAGGGUUUGCUGUGUGAUGGGGAAUCGACCGCUGGGCUGGGUUAUCUGCUCGGUGCUGCUCGUGGGGUUAACACCAGUCUGGCAUUACUUAUUUUUCUAACCUGAUGCAAAUUAUUUUCAGCAGCCCAAACACAGGCUUGUGUAAUAAAAGCACGAGGAUAGUGCAAACAUCCUGUUGACUCAAAGAAAGUGAAAAGUGGUCCCCAAAGGGAAGCAGGGCGAGGGUGCUGGUGGCUUGUAUUGCCCCACAAGGGCUGGCAGGUGACUGGGCAGCAGGGACCAGCAGAUGCAUCGCCAUGAGGAUGUGUCCAGCCUCCAUCACGACAGGCAGCUCGCUUUAAAACUGUCCCGAGCUAAAAUUCCAUGUGGAUAUUGAGGAAUAGCUAAUGUGACCAGAGAGGGAAAUGAGUCUGGAGCUCUCUGCAGUCCCUGGACAAUGGCUUCCAGGAUGGCAGCUUUGCAGACACUGAUAAUGAAAAGGGGAAAAUACAGCAUACAGAUAAAGCAGACAUCUCCCGGAAGGUAUUUAGAGAAGCAAUGACAUUUAGCAGAGGCAGUGGUGCCAGCAGAGCCAUUACAAGUUGUUUAUCAUGCAAGCUCAUCCAGUGCUCAGGAGAUUUUGGGUCAGCCAUUUCAUUUCCAUGAGAAUUUGAUUUCAGGGUGGUGAGUUCACCCUACGAUAAGAUUUGGCUGUGCUGGUUGUAUGUUUUGUAAUGGCUCUGAAAAAAAAAAAAAAAACAACUUGAAAUAGCAAUCACUAAAAUAUCAUCUUCCUGUUCUGAGCUCAGCAGGAGAGGCCGAUCAGUUCUUUUAUUAGUGAUGAGAAAGGGAUCCAUGCAGCAAAGUCCUCAGGAAGGGUGU